This 271-nucleotide ribosomal RNA is filed under the name uncultured bacterium. RNAcentral's name for it is "partial 16S ribosomal RNA". It matches the Rfam family "Bacterial small subunit ribosomal RNA", at positions 82 to 354 of the family's 1533-position model. The record is from RNAcentral.
CCCUUGCCGGCGACCGGCGCACGGGUGAGUAACACGUAUGCAACCUGCCCUCUUCAGGGGGACAACCUUCCGAAAGGGAGGCUAAUCCCGCGUAUAUCGGUUUCGGGCAUCCGAGAUCGAGGAAAGAUUCAUCGGAAGAGGAUGGGCAUGCGGCGCAUUAGCUAGACGGCGGGGUAACGGCCCACCGUGGCGACGAUGCGUAGGGGUUCUGAGAGGAAGGUCCCCCACACUGGUACUGAGACACGGACCAGACUCCUACGGGAGGCAGCAG